UUCCCUCUAAAUUCUCUCCCGCUACCUUCAACGAAAUACGCUAAAUUGGCCAAAUAGUAUACCCUUGAAAUCGGUCAAACAGUGUAUGCUUGAAAUCGGCACCAAGAAUCUCUAUCUCCCUAUAUCUCAACCGGAAACUAAAAUCGUCGGCUCUAUCACAGUCGCAGACACCUUCACAAUCGCCGGUCAGUUUCUGUCUCUAUUUUUAAGGUUCGAUUGGGUGGGUUAGGAGUUGAUGAAAAAUUACUAUUGGCUGGGUCUAGGGUUUCGAUUAUCGAAGUAUAAUCGCCAGCACCAUCUCAAUCGCUGCUAAGUUUUAUUCCAAGUCGCUGCAAUACUAAUUUUUUGGGUCGUUGCUGCUCAAAAUACAAAUAUAUAUUAAGACAUUUUGUUAAAUCUAUUUGAUGAUUCUGUCAUUUUGUUUCUUUUUGAUUUGUUGAAAUCAUCCGAGUGAGUGCUUGAUAUGGAUUACGGAUAUGCAUUAGGGAAAUUUUUCCGUUCUUGAUAGUCCCUGUCGUUUAUUUGAUGUGCAAAGUUUUCAACUGCUUAUUCACUUUAAAGUUUAAACUAUACUUAGCACAUCUGAUGUGCUUCAUAUCUAGCUCUUAACAUUUUUGUGCUGAGAAACUGGGAUUGCAAUUUCUUGAAAUUUUAGAUUCAGUUAAUUACAAGUUAGAAACCUCUAUGACAUAUAUUGCUAAAUCCUGGUAUAAGAGAUUUUCUUAUAUUUCUGUAUAAGCAGUGAUCCUACUUUUAAAUUUAGCAAUCUUCGAAUAGAAAAAUGUUGCAUUCUACUAAAAUAAUAUGUUGGUUUUAGCUUUACUGUUUGAAGGAAAGGUUUUUAGAUGAUCAGUUUGAGCAUAUCUACAACUUUUUUCUAUAUCGGGUUUCUGGAGAGUAUAUCUUCUAUUAAAAAUAUUUGUUUGACAUUCUUCUCAUAACAUAUAUUUUUUAUAAGGUAAAGAUUUAAGCAUACAAAGAGGAAACUAGUCAAAUGUCUAAUUUUCUUUACUGUUGCUUAACAAAGUUAUUGAGACAUCGUUAUUGUUUAACUCUCCAUCAUCUCUUUUUAUGUAGGUUUCGAGAUUGUUACUGGCAUCAUUCUCCUUCACUUUCUUAUCUUCAUCGUCAAAGUAUUCUACUUACCAGAUACCCAAACACUUGAGCCUAAGCCGAUUUGUGAUUUGUGAUGUCCAACUAUGGCAGUUUGUGAUUUGUAGAGAUAAUAUUUUGUGUGUGUUUGCUAUGUUGUGAUUUGUGAUUUUUGGAUGCUGUUGAAUUGGAGGAAAACUGAUUGAAUUGAUUCCUCUAUUUUCCCUAAUGUUAUAUGUUUACUUUUGAUUGUUAUAAGUUAUUCAUAGCAUACUAUACUUAAACAAAAUCCUGUUAAUUUAAGUGUAAAGUAAUUCUAUUUGAACUGUGGAUUAGGUGGAUGUGAACUAGUCGGUUCGUUAGCUUUCGAGAUAUCUCCGUGUUAAUGCUCCAUUGAUUCGACUAUGUUAAUUUUUUUCCAGAUAUAUUUGUGACUUGGAUUCUGUUCUAAAUUGCUGUUAGUUCUAGUUUCGCCUUAUGCACUUUAAAUCACGAAAGUGUUACUUAAUAGUUGCUAUGCUAGGAGAAUGUUUUUUUAAGAUUUGCUACUUGUUAAGAAAAGAAAUGAUCAAUUUUAAAUCUAGUCGUUUAAAUAUUAAACUCUCCCAGCUGGAAUAAUAAGUUAGUUUUUGUGAAGUUCACCUACCGUAAGUCAGUAAUGUAGAUGUUAAUUUAAUUUGUGUUUUCUUAUGUCUCACGUAGCAUGUUCAUAGGUUGUGUCGUUGUUUUUGAAUUAAAGUUUAGAAUUCUAUCUCAUGUCCAAAAUGCCAAACCUAAGUUAGCAGCCUGAAGUGUCUCACUUUAUGAAUUACAAGUCAUAAUCUUGAGGAAAACUCUUAUUUAAUUGAAAUAUGAUAUUUGGCUUAAAGUAUAUAUAUUUAUAUGUAUAUCGCCUCAUAUUUUACUCGUGUUUCGUAAAUUUCGAAUGUAAAAUGUAUUGAUUUAUACUUAUUUAUGGUGUUUUUAUAUGUAGGAAUCAUCCAAAGGCAAUAGGGGGCGAAAUGUGAUAGAUUAGAGCGAAAAAGGAGAAAAGUUAAAAAUGUCGAUUUCCAGGGCCCCAAUUUCCAGAAUGUUUAUUUUUUCAGUGCCAGGGCUAGUGCCCCACGCUACCCUGGGUGCAGGUGAUGGGAAACAUCUCCUACUUCGCUUGGGACAAGGUUAUUUCGGUCCGAGACCCUCCCCCAAACUUGUAUAAAAGCAAGUCUAAACCUAUUUUGGAGGAUAUCUAAUAUACUUUGAAAGAGAAUUCAUAUGGAGGAACACACACCACGCUUGGAGGAGAUUCCUAACUAGUUUUUCUUCUCUUCUCUUCCUUUAAUUUCAUAGUUUCUUAGUUCUAGAGUUUUGGGUGCUACAUGAACAUUGUAGUUUGAAUUUGAAAUUGUUCUUAUUAUUUUAUCAUAUUGGUUUAUUUAUUCAAUCUUGCG
Molecule: long non-coding RNA, 2519 nt
Filed under: Nicotiana tabacum (common tobacco)
Lineage: Eukaryota; Viridiplantae; Streptophyta; Magnoliopsida; Solanales; Solanaceae
Description: long non-coding RNA (NTAB_LNC014826)
Source: RNAcentral